RNAcentral lists this long non-coding RNA (899 nucleotides) under Bos taurus (domestic cattle). RNAcentral's name for it is "long non-coding RNA NONBTAT021928". The record is from RNAcentral. Lineage: Eukaryota; Metazoa; Chordata; Mammalia; Artiodactyla; Bovidae.
CUCCCAAAUCCUUAGUGUAGUUGACUUGUCUUGGGUGGCACUGUAAGACGGAGUACUCAGAGUAGUUGAAACAUGCAGAAUCUGUUGUAUAACUUUUUUUUCUUUCUUUAAACAGUGUUUUCUAGGAUACAGGCUAGAGUAUCAUAUUUUAGGGGAGAAAUUCAUGACUGACUUUUUUUUCCCCCCAGCCCAACAUGGGUUUUUUUUGUUUGUAUGUAUUUUUUUGUUUGCCUGUUUUUCUGCUUCUUUUUUGGUAGAAAAAAAUAAACACUUAAUAAAACAUAUCCAAUUGUUUAAAUUCUAUGUAUGAUAUUAAAAGUGUAGUUUUGUUUUAAAAUUUCAUUACAUAAAGGCCUCCUGCAUCGAGACAUGGCUGGUACAUUUUUAAGUUCAAAAGAGUGAAACACAUUCAUGGAAGUGAGGCUGUUAAAUCUCUUUUGAUCUUCCUUUCUCACAGCCUCCCAGUUAAAACCGUGGCCUUCUUGUAGGCCCUCCGUGAAAUGCUCCAUGUUUCCCAUUCCCAUUCUCAUCACCAUCACCAGAUGCUUCCAUUCCUGAGAAGACAGGGCCACAGUCUAUGGAAUUCCAUAAAUGCAAACAGCCCCCAAACAAAAGGAGUAAUGCUUCGUAGGACUUGAGCUACCUUUUCUUCAUAAUGUUUGGUUUUCUUCUGCAGUCAGUGUUCUUUAGGCUAGCCCAUUAUGAUGGGCUAUGAUUUAUGAUGGCAUGAUCCCUAAGAGUUUUAGUUCUCCUCUCUCUCUCUCUCUCUUUUUCCCCCCAAAUUAUAAAGACUGUUUUCAGCUUCAGAAAUAAGACAGAGUUUAGCAAAAACACAUAGAGUAUGCAAGUUUCCACAUUACUGUAUCUUUUUGUUCUCUAGUCACUAGCCAGCUAUUUUA